This 467-nucleotide ribosomal RNA is filed under the name uncultured bacterium. RNAcentral describes it as "bacterial SSU rRNA". It matches the Rfam family "Bacterial small subunit ribosomal RNA", at positions 330 to 794 of the family's 1533-position model. The record is from RNAcentral.
CCCAGACUCCUACGGGAGGCAGCAGUGAGGAAUAUUGGUCAAUGGGCGGAAGCCUGAACCAGCCAAGUCGCGUGAGGGAUUAAGGCCCUAUGGGUCGUAAACCUCUUUUGUCAGGGAGCAAUGGCGUCCACGUGUGGGCGUAUGGAGAGUGCCUGAAGAAAAAGCAUCGGCUAACUCCGUGCCAGCAGCCGCGGUAAUACGGAGGAUGCGAGCGUUAUCCGGAUUUAUUGGGUUUAAAGGGUGCGUAGGCGGAAUGCCAAGUCAGCGGUAAAAUCGCGGGGCUCAACCUCGCUCCGCCGUUGAAACUGGCGUUCUUGAGUGGGCGAGAAGUACGCGGAAUGCGUGGUGUAGCGGUGAAAUGCAUAGAUAUCACGCAGAACUCCGAUUGCGAAGGCAGCGUACCGGCGCCCAACUGACGCUCAUGCACGAAAGCGUGGGUAUCGAACAGGAUUAGAUACCCGUGUAGA